GACGAACGCUGGCGGCGUGCUUAACGCAUGCAAGUCGAACGGAAAGGCCCUGCUUUUGUGGGGUGCUCGAGUGGCGCACGGGUGAGUAACACGUGAGUAACCUGCCCUUGACUUUGGGAUAACUUCAGGAAACUGGGGCUAAUACCGGAUAGGAGCUCCUGCUGCAUGGUGGGGGUUGGAAAGUUUCGGCGGUUGGGGAUGGACUCGCGGCUUAUCAGCUUGUUGGUGGGGUAGUGGCCUACCAAGGCUUUGACGGGUAGCCGGCCUGAGAGGGUGACCGGCCACAUGGGGACUGAGAUACGGCGCAGACGCCUACGGGGGGCAGCAGUGGGGAAUAUUGCACAAUGAGCGGAAGCCUGAUGCAGCAGCGCCGCGUUCGGGAUGACGGCCUUCGGGUGGUAAACCGCUUUCGCCUGUGACGAAGCGGGAGUGACGGUAAUGGGUAAAGAAGCACCGGCUAACUACGUG
Molecule: ribosomal RNA, 468 nt
Filed under: uncultured bacterium
Lineage: Bacteria
Description: partial 16S ribosomal RNA
Rfam family: Bacterial small subunit ribosomal RNA
Source: RNAcentral